AUUGAACGCUGGCGGCAGGCCUAACACAUGCAAGUCGAGCGGUUGAGGUAGCUUGCUACCGAUGCAGCGGCGAACGGGUGAGUAAUGCCUAGGAAUCUGCCUGGUAGUGGGGGAUAACGCUCGGAAACGGACGCUAAUACCGCAUACGUCCUACGGGAGAAAGCAGGGGGACCUUCGGGCCUUGCGCUAUCAGAUGAGCC
RNAcentral lists this ribosomal RNA (200 nucleotides) under uncultured bacterium. RNAcentral's name for it is "partial 16S ribosomal RNA". It matches the Rfam family "Bacterial small subunit ribosomal RNA", at positions 30 to 231 of the family's 1533-position model. The record is from RNAcentral.